This 200-nucleotide ribosomal RNA is filed under the name uncultured bacterium. RNAcentral's name for it is "partial 16S ribosomal RNA". It matches the Rfam family "Bacterial small subunit ribosomal RNA", at positions 326 to 539 of the family's 1533-position model. The record is from RNAcentral.
ACGCUCGACACCUACGGAAGGCAGCAGUGGGGAAUAUUGGGCAAUGGACGCAAGUCUGACCCAGCAACGCCGCGUGAAGGAAGAAGGCUUUCGGGUUGUAAACUUCUUUUGUCAGGGAACAGUAGAAGAGGGUACCUGACGAAUAAGCCACGGCUAACUACGUGCCAGCAGCCACGGUAAUCUGAGCGGGCUGGCAAGGC